This is a long non-coding RNA of Meriones unguiculatus (Mongolian gerbil), 398 nucleotides long. RefSeq lists it as uncharacterized. The record is from RefSeq and is a predicted model, not a curated record. NCBI's taxonomy places the organism in Eukaryota, Metazoa, Chordata, Mammalia, Rodentia, Muridae. The transcript is spliced from 3 exons.
GUCGCAGGUUCUGGUGACUUAGGAAGAAGAGAUGCCUUCCUUCCCCAACCCCCCCAACCCAUGCUGAAGCUGGGCUACCAUCUCCCAAAUUCCCGAGACUCCAGGUCUGAGGAUGUGAGGAAGGUGAGGCAGACGCCGGCAAGCAAACCACAGCCAUGACAUGCGGUACAGAUGGCAGAAUACUUAGAGACAGGAUGUUUCCUGCCACCUAAGGAAAUGACAAAUCCAUGGUUCACAGAAGUGCCAAGACAACUGCCAGGAAUGAAGGCAUUCUCAGAGAGAAUCACAUGACCAAGGCUGAGGCCAACUCCUAAUGUUGCUGCGGCCCAAGUGCGAGGAUUGAAAGCAUGCACAGCCAUCUCUAGGUGACCAAAUUACAACAGAUGUCUAAAACAAGG